RNAcentral lists this ribosomal RNA (790 nucleotides) under Chlorobi bacterium SCGC AAA076-D20. RNAcentral describes it as "bacterial SSU rRNA". It matches the Rfam family "Bacterial small subunit ribosomal RNA", at positions 95 to 866 of the family's 1533-position model. Lineage: Bacteria; Pseudomonadati; Chlorobiota. The record is from RNAcentral.
GUGGCGAACGGGUGAGUAACGCGUAAAUAACUUGCCUUGGAGAUUGGGACAACAUUGGGAAACCAGUGCUAAUACCAAAUAAUGCAGCGGGCCCUUCGGGGCAUAGUUGUUAAAGUAGGCUUCGGCUUACACUUCAAGAUAGAUUUGCGUCCGAUUAGUUAGUUGGUAGGGUAAUAGCCUACCAAGACCGAGAUCGGUAGCUGGUCUGAGAGGAUGAUCAGCCACACUGGAAUUGAGAUACGGUCCAGACUCCUACGGGAGGCAGCAGUGAGGAAUUUUGCACAAUGGGCGAAAGCCUGAUGCAGCAACACCGCGUGAUUGAUGAAGUUUUUAGGAAUGUAAAAAUCUGUCGUAAGGGAAGAAAUGUUUCGGAUGUUAAUACCAUCUGUUACUGACGGUACCUUACAAGAAAGGACCGGCUAACUUCGUGCCAGCAGCCGCGGUAAUACGAGGGGUCCUAGCGUUGUCCGGAUUUACUGGGCGUAAAGGGUACGUAGGCGUUUUAAUAAGUUGUAUGUUAAAUAUCUUAGCUUAACUAAGAAGGUGCAUACAAAACUGUUAAGAUAGAGUUUGAGAGAGGAACGCAGAAUUCAUGGUGGAGCGGUGACAUGCGUAGAUAUCAUGAGGAAAGUCAAAUGCGAAGGCAGCCUUCUGGCUCAAAACUGACGCUGAGGUACGAAAGCGUGGGGAGCGAACAGGAUUAGAUACCCUGGUAGUCCACGCCGUAAACGAUGAGUAUUUGGUGCUGGGGGAUUCGACCCUUUCAGUGCCGUAGCUAACGCGAUAAAUA